GCUCCUCGCGCCAUCAGACUCCUACGGAGGGCAGCAGUUGGGAAUCUUGGACAAUGGGGGAAACCCUGGAUCCAGCCAUGCCGCGUGAGUGAUGAAGGCCUUCGGGUUGUAAACUCUUUCGACGGGGACGAGUAAUGACGGUACCCGUACGAACGAAGCUCCGGCUAACUUCGUGCCAGCAGCCGCGGUAAUUC
RNAcentral lists this ribosomal RNA (194 nucleotides) under uncultured bacterium. RNAcentral describes it as "partial 16S ribosomal RNA". It matches the Rfam family "Bacterial small subunit ribosomal RNA", at positions 318 to 526 of the family's 1533-position model. The record is from RNAcentral.